GUAGGUGGCAAGCGUUGUCCGGAAUUAUUGGGCGUAAAGCGCGCGCAGGCGGGUUCUUUAAGUCUGAUGUGAAAGCCCACGGGCUCAACCGUGGAGGGUCAUUGGAAACUGGAGAACUUGAGUACAGAAGAGGAAAGCGGAAUUCCACGUGUAGCGGUGAAAUGCGUAGAGAUGUGGAGGAACACCAGUGGCGAAGGCGGCUUUCUGGUCUGUAACCGACGCUGAGGCGCGAAAGCGUGGGGAGCAAACAGGAUUAGAUACCCUGGUAGUCCACGCCGUAAACGAUGAGUGCUAAGUGUUAGGGGGUUUCCGCCCCUUAGUGCUGCAGCUAACGCAUUAAGCACUCCGCCUGGGGAGUACGGCCGCAAGGCUG
This 373-nucleotide ribosomal RNA is filed under the name uncultured organism. RNAcentral's name for it is "partial 16S ribosomal RNA". It matches the Rfam family "Bacterial small subunit ribosomal RNA", at positions 527 to 896 of the family's 1533-position model. The record is from RNAcentral.